RNAcentral lists this ribosomal RNA (459 nucleotides) under uncultured bacterium. RNAcentral describes it as "partial 16S ribosomal RNA". It matches the Rfam family "Bacterial small subunit ribosomal RNA", at positions 338 to 795 of the family's 1533-position model. The record is from RNAcentral.
CCUACGGGCGGCUGCAGUGAGGAAUAUUGGUCAAUGGGCGGAAGCCUGAACCAGCCAAGUAGCGUGCGGGAUGAAGGCCCUACGGGUCGUAAACCGCUUUUGCACGGGGAUAACACCCUCCACUUGUGGAGGUCUGCAGGUACCGUGCGAAUAAGGGCCGGCUAAUUCCGUGCCAGCAGCCGCGGUAAUACGGAAGGCCCGAGCGUUAUCCGGAUUCAUUGGGCUUAAAGGGAGCGUAGGCGGGCGUUCAAGUCAGCUGUAAAAUCGCGCGGCUCAACCGCGCCCCGCAGUUGAAACUGGACGCAUUGAGUUCACAACAGGCAGGCGGAAUUCGUGGUGUAGCGGUGAAAUGCAUAGAUAUCACGAGGAACCCCGAUUGCGAAGGCAGCCUGCCGGGGUGCGACUGACGCUGAGGCUCGAAGGUGCGGGUAUCAAACAGGAUUAGAUACCCCAGUAGUC